CAUUAUUCUCCCAAAGCAUUCAAUCUCGACAGUUUUUCAGAGGAAAAAAAAAAACUUCUCUCAUCUUUCUCUCUUCUUUGUUUCUCUUUUCUUUGAAAAAUUCUAUCAAUCGACUCUUCUAGAUUUUUGAAGAAACAGCAAAUACGCCAACAUACUCAGAUUAGUUUUCUCUAAUCGUUUAAUUAAUUUCCCUUUAAAACCAAUUCGACUGGUUGGGAUUUCUCGCUCGGUACGUCAUCUCGGUCUAUGUUAGGGUUUCUUGUAAAUCCUUCGUAUGUCGCGAUUGUUUUUUAGGGUUUUCAAUAUUCCUAAUUGUUCAAAGCGUAACUGUUGCAGUAAUCUUGAAUACGUUAAGAAUCUGUGUUUAAUUGGGUUUCCAGUUUUCGUUAGGGUGAGUUUUUGAAAUUUUCUGUACUUUUUACAAAAAAACUUGUUUGAUGCUGAGGAUCAUUAGUGGUUCUGUUACUAAUCUGAUAUGCAAUAAUUUCUGAUCAUUGGAAGGAAGCAACAGAGAUUUUCUAUGUACGCCGAUCACAUUCUCAGUCGCUGCUCUGAUUCCGGUGGUGGUGUGGUCAAGGUUUUGUUGUGAACCUUGCAAGUGAUGGAGCAUUUGGUGGGCUACCAUUGAUCACAAAAUGAAGGAGAUGAAUGAUUAGGUGGAGGAUCAAGAUCACCAGUCUGGGUUAGAAAAGAUAUAGCAGAUCAGUGUGGAAAAGGAAGUGACUUUGGUUGGGCUUUCUUAUUCCGGCUGUGCUCUGAAGCUUGACUCCGCGUGAAACGUCUUUAAGAAUCUUUUUUGGAAACAUUGUCCCCUGCUGCCUCUCGAAACAUAUGCCAUCACCCUAACAAGAUUCUAUGGGUUGGUAGUGCAUGUCAAAAUAAAGAUGUUAGGGGAUGGUAAAUAAAGACCAUACGGCUUAAUAGUCUUAACACAAGACUUUACUACCCGCGGCUUUCUAUAAUCUGUUUUCGAUUAUAAAUAUGGAUGGAUUAUAAUGACCAACAAAGUCUUGAGACAAAAGACUAUAAAUCGAAAACAGAUUCAUUACUCUAUACCCACGGCUUAUAAGUCUUUAGAGCAAGACAGUGACAUGUCGGUUAAGAAUGGACAAUGUUCUUAGACAAAGACUAAUGAGAACCAUUGGAUGGGAAAAUUACUACAACCCUUAGGCUUACAGAAAUAAUAAGCAAAAGACUUUUAAGACAGGUCAGUUUAAAAGGAUGGGUGGGACAUGUCCUAAGACCAUAAGGCUUAAUAGUCUUAACACAGAAGACUAUAAUCUGUUUUCGAUUGUAAAGAUGGAUGGAUUAUAACGACCAACAAAGUCUUAAGACAAAAGACUAUAAAUCGAAAACAGAGUUUUCUUUCUCUUCUUUACCCACGGCUUGCAAGUCUUUAGAGAAAGAUAGAGACAAAAACUUUUUAAGACGUCUCGGUUAUGAAUGGACAAUGUCCUUAGACAAAGGCAUUAGCAAAAGACAUUUAAGACAGGUCAGUUUAAAAGGAUGGGACAUGUCCUAAGACCAUACUAGUCUAAACACAAGACUUCUUCAACCCACGGCUUUCUAUAAUCUGUUUUCGAUUACAAAGAUGGAUGGAUUAUAACGACCAACAGUCUUAAGACAAAAGACUAUAAACCAAAAACAGAUUCUUUACUCUAUACCCACGACUUACAUUUCUGUAAAGAAAGACAGGGACAAAAACUUUUGAAGACAUGCCGGUUAUGAAUGGACAAUGUCCUUAGACAGAGGCUAUCGAGAACCAUUUAGAUGGAAAAAAACUACUACAACCCUCGGCUUACAGAAGUCAUUAGUAAAAGACUUUUAAGACAGGUCAGUUUACAAGGAUGGGACAUAUCCUAAGACUAGAAGGCUUAAUGGCCUUAACACAAAAGACUAUAAUCUGUUUUCGAUAAUAAAGAUGGAUGGAUUAUAACGACCAACAAAUUCUUAAGACAAAAGACUAUAAAUCGAAAACAGACUAUUUACACUAUUACCCAUGGCUUACAAGUCCUUAGAGAAAGACAGAGACAAAAACUUUUAAGACAUGUCGGUUAUGAAUGGGAAAUGUCCUUAGACAAAGGCUAUGAAUGGUGAACAAGAACCAUUUGGAUGGGAAAAAAUUACAACAGCCUCAGCUUAUAGAAGUCAUUAGCAAGACUUUUAAGACAGGUCAGUUUAUGGAUUGGACAUGUCAACACAAUACUUUACUACUCUUAAAGACAGGUCCGUUUACAAGAGAUAAAGAAUGGGACAUUUCCUGCUCGUAACACAAUACUUGACUACUCCUAAGACAGGUCCGUUUAAAAGACUUAAGGAUGGGACAUGUCCUACUCUUAACACAAUAAUUGAAGACAUGUCGGUUAUGAAUGGUGAACGAGAACCAUUUGGAUGGAAAAAUUACAACAACUCUCUUCUUACAGAAGUCACUAGGCAAAUACUUUUCAGACAGGUUAGUUUAAAGACUUAAGGAUGGGAAAACACAAUACUCUACUAGUCUUAAGACAGGUCUGUUUAAAAGACAUAAGGAUGGGACAUGUCCUACUCCUAAACACAAUACUUAACUACCCACAGGUUUCCGCAAUAUGUUUUCAAUUAUUAAAGAUUGAUGGAGUUUAACGACCCACAAAGUCUUAAAGAGAAAAGACUACAAAUCGAAAACAGACUCCUUAUUCUUUACCCAUGGCUUACAAGUCUUUCGAGAAAAAGACAAAAACGUAUAAGAUAUGUGGUUAAAAUGACUUAUAAAUGGAAAAUUCCUUAGACAAAGGCUUUGGAUAGUGAACGAGAACCAUUUGAAUGGCAAAAUUACAACAAACCCUCGGCUUACAAAAGUCAUUAGCUAAAAACUUUUAGGACAGGUCGGUUUAAAAGACUAAGGAUGGAAAAUAUCCUAAGAUCAUACGGCUUAAUAGUCUAAACACAAGACUUUACUUGGUACCCACGGCUUUCUAUAAUCUGUUUUCGAUUUAAAAGAUGGAUAUGGAGUAUAACUGUUUAACAUUGUCUUAAGACAAAAGACUACAAAUCGAAAACAGAUCCCUUACUCUUAACCCACGGCUUACAAGUCUUUAGAGAAAGACAAAGACAAAAACAAAUACUUUUAAGACAAAAGACGACUAACCGAAAACAAAGUCCUUAAAUUUUACCCACGGCUCAAUAGUCUUAACACAAGACUUUACUACCCACGGCUUUCUAUAAUAUGUGUUCGAUUAUAACGACCAAUAAAUUCUUAAGACUAAAGACUAGAAAUCAAAAACAAUUCCUUACUCUUCUUUAAGCACUGCUAAUUUCUUAAGACAUGUCAGUUAUGAAUGGUGGAACGAGAACCAUUUGGAUGGGAAAAAUUACAACAACUCUCGGUUUAUAAAAGUCAUAAGCAAAGGACUUUUAAGACAAGUCAGCUUAAAAGACGUAAGGAUGUGACAUGUCCUAUUCUUAACACAAUACUUUACUACUCUUA
Raphanus sativus (radish) is the source of this 3463-nucleotide long non-coding RNA. RefSeq lists it as uncharacterized. The record is from RefSeq and is a predicted model, not a curated record. Lineage: Eukaryota; Viridiplantae; Streptophyta; Magnoliopsida; Brassicales; Brassicaceae. The transcript has 5 exons.